Molecule: ribosomal RNA, 253 nt
Filed under: uncultured bacterium
Lineage: Bacteria
Description: partial 16S ribosomal RNA
Rfam family: Bacterial small subunit ribosomal RNA
Source: RNAcentral
UACGUAGGGUGCGAGCGUUGUCCGGAAUUAUUGGGCGUAAAGAGCUCGUAGGCGGCUUGUCGCGUCGGAUGUGAAAGCCCGGGGCUUAACUCCGGGUCUGCAUUCGAUACGGGCAGGCUAGAGUUCGGUAGGGGAGAUCGGAAUUCCUGGUGUAGCGGUGAAAUGCGCAGAUAUCAGGAGGAACACCGGUGGCGAAGGCGGAUCUCUGGGCCGAUACUGACGCUGAGGAGCGGAAGCGUGGGGAGCGAACAGG